UACGGGGGGGGCAAGCGUUGUUCGGAAUUACUGGGCGUAAAGGGCUCGUAGGCGGCCAACUAAGUCCGACGUGAAAUCCCCAGGCUCAACCUGGGAACUGCGUCGGAUACUGGAUGGCUUGAAUUCGGGAGAGGGAUGCAGAAUUCCAGGUGUAGCGGUGAAAUGCGUAGAUAUCUGGAGGAAUACCGGUGGCGAAGGCGGCAUCCUGGACCGACAUUGACGCUGAGACGCGAAAGCGUGGGGAGCAAACAGG
Molecule: ribosomal RNA, 253 nt
Filed under: uncultured bacterium
Lineage: Bacteria
Description: partial 16S ribosomal RNA
Rfam family: Bacterial small subunit ribosomal RNA
Source: RNAcentral